RNAcentral lists this ribosomal RNA (253 nucleotides) under uncultured bacterium. Its description in RNAcentral is "partial 16S ribosomal RNA". It matches the Rfam family "Bacterial small subunit ribosomal RNA", at positions 524 to 776 of the family's 1533-position model. The record is from RNAcentral.
UACGUAGGGGGCAAGCGUUGUCCGGAUUUAUUGGGCGUAAAGAGCGUGUAGGCGGCCAGACAGGUCAGCUGUGAAAACUCGAGGCUCAACCUCGAGACGUCGGUUGAAACCGUCUGGCUAGAGUCCGGAAGAGGAGAGUGGAAUUCCCGGUGUAGCGGUGAAAUGCGCAGAUAUCGGGAAGAACACCCGUGGCGAAGGCGGCUCUCUGGGACGGUACUGACGCUGAGACGCGAAAGCCAGGGGAGCAAACGGG